RNAcentral lists this ribosomal RNA (118 nucleotides) under Piliocolobus tephrosceles (Ugandan red Colobus). Lineage: Eukaryota; Metazoa; Chordata; Mammalia; Primates; Cercopithecidae. The record is from RNAcentral.
GUCUAUUGCCAUACUAUCCUGAACGCGCCCGAUCUCGUCCAUCUCGGAAGCUAAUCAGAGUGGGGCCUGGUUAGUACUUGGAUGGGAGACUACCUGGGAAUAUUGCAUGCUGUGGGCU